Molecule: long non-coding RNA, 4416 nt
Filed under: Brassica napus (rape)
Lineage: Eukaryota; Viridiplantae; Streptophyta; Magnoliopsida; Brassicales; Brassicaceae
Description: long non-coding RNA (BNAP_LNC003701)
Source: RNAcentral
UUUUGCGUGAAUGAUCGUACGAUCGGUAAGGCGAGUCCUCGUCGUAUCGUUCCCUUCUUAUCGGCAUCACGUUUGGUGAUUGAUCCACAAACUCAUCCUCAUACGAAUCAUCAUAUCUAUUGCCUGGGAUAUGAGGUGUUUUGUAAGGCGCUUCGUAAUCGUCGACGGAAUCAUCGGUAGUUGUGUGGUGUCCCGACGUUGUAGGUACAGUUUCGUCAUCGCUGCUCGGCAAUGCGCUCACGGGCUUCCUAUUAGCCACCCGGCUACGCUCUGCUCUGCUGAGAAGAUCGGAGACAACCAUGGAGCUGGUAUCACUCCUCGUACGACGGAGAACCGGUGGUGGUGGUGGUGGUGGUGGCCUGGAGACUACGGAUUGGUUCUGCUUUGAAGACGGAGAUUGCGGGUUCUUGGAGCUUCCUUUGGCGCUGUUAAGAUGCAGAUUCUGCAAAUGCGGAUCGUCUUCACCGAGCAAGUCUCUGUAACCAACAGCAGAUGAAUCCAUGUUGGUGUAAAGAGGCAAACUUCGCAUAGACCCGUCAAGGAUUCCGACGCCGAUGUUGAGGAUCCCUUGAGGACGGCCUGACGGUCGGCGAACUUGGAGGGCUACGAAGCGCAUUCCGGGAGGGGGAGUAUGGCGGUACUCGUCGUUGGUUCGGUAUCCAGGUCGGACAACAACUUCACUUCCUCUUCAUCACUCCCUUCUAGAUUCAGCAAUCUCAACAAAUUAGAGGUUUUGUCUCUUUCCUCUAACGGCUUCCAAGGUCAAGUUCCUUCCUCUUUUAGUAACCUAACCAAGUUAACCCAGUUUGAUCUCUCGCAUAACGACCUCACUGGUGGUUUCCAACUAGUCCAGAACCUCACCAAGCUUUCCAUGUUAGACCUUUCCUACAAUCACUUCUCUGGAACCAUCCCUUCUUCUUUGCUGCUCACUCUACCUCUCUUGUCACAUCUCGAUCUCCGCGGAAACUAUCUCACUGGCUCCAUUGAAGUUCCCUCCUCGCCGUCAUCGAGGCUUGAGCACUUGUUCCUUGGACAUAACCAUUUCGACGGACAAAUACUAGAGCCUAUCUCAAAGUUAACAACCCUCAGAGAACUUGUUCUCUCUUUCAUAAACGUUAGCUACCCUAUUGACUUGAGAGACUUCUCCUCUCUCAAAUCUUUGCUGAACCUUGAGCUUUCCGGUAAUAUCUUAUCGGCCACAACAAGUCUGAUAUCAGGUUCUGAUGUUCCACCAAAUCUUUACCGGUUGAUGAUGAAGGGCUGCAACAUCAACGAGUUCCCUAAGUUUCUCAAGACCUUACAGAACCUAGAGCGUUUAGACCUUUCCGACAAUCAGAUCAAAGGGAAAGUUCCAGAGUGGUUAUGGAGUCUUCCCCGGUUGAGCAUAGUGAGUCUAAACAACAACUCAUUCAACGAUUUUGAUGGUUCUCUUCACAAGUCAUCAGUUACAAUGCUAGAUCUUAGUUUCAACAACUUCACAGGAUCCCUUCCUGAUCCACCACUCUCUAUAAAACUCUUCUUGGCAUCAAGAAAUAGUUUCACAGGAAACAUACCUCUUUCAACUUGCGACCGAAGCUACCUAGAUGCUCUUGACCUAUCCUACAACAACUUCAGCGGCGCAAUUCCUCAGUGUCUUAGUAAGUUCAAAAUACUCAAUCUCAGGAAAAACAACUUGCAUGGAAUCAUUCCCAAUGCAUUCUCUAGCAGCUCUCCUCUACAAACACUUGAUGUUGGAUACAAUCGAAUACGCGGACAGCUUCCUAGGUCUCUUGUGAAUUGUUCUUCUCUAAGGUUUCUGAGUGUGGAUCACAACAAUAUAAAGGACUUAUUCCCUUUCUGGCUUAAGGUUUUACCGGAUUUGCAAGUCCUCACCCUAAGUUCAAACACAUUGCAUGGUCCUAUAUCUCCUCCUCAAGGACCUUUAGGGUUUCCUGAGCUGCGGAUACUUGAUCUAUCAGACAACAAGUUUACAGGAAGUUUGUCUCCAGAUUACUUUGUGAACUGGAGUGGAUCAUCAUCAAACAAGAUGUAUGGAGAUGGAGAGAUGUAUAUGGGAGACUAUACAAAUGAUCUCUACAGCUAUUUUUAUGGUUUGGACUUGCAAUACAAAGGUCUUAAUAUGGAGAAUAAAAUGGUAAAUACUUUCUAUACAGCUAUUGAUUUCUCUGGAAACAAUUUUAGUGGACAGAUUCCAGAAUCUAUUGGUUUCUUGACGGCACUCAUUGCUCUAAACCUAUCCAACAACUCUUUCACCGGCCACAUCCCUAUGUCUUUUGCGAAUCUUACAGGACUAGAGUCACUAGACCUGUCUCAAAACAAACUCUCGGGGGAGAUUCCUCAACAACUUGGUGCCCUCUCGUUUUUGGCCUACAUAAAUGUCUCUUACAACCAACUCAAGGGUGAGAUACCAAAAGGGACACAGAUUAGUGGGCAGCCUGAAUCUUCCUUUGAGGGGAAUGCAGGGCUUUGUGGUAUUCCUCUCCAGGAAAGUUGCUUUGGGACUAGUGAGCCACCAACACAAUGGGAAAAGCAAGUAGAUGAUGAAGAGGAAGGAGAGGUGUUGAACUGGAGAGGAGUAGCAAUAGGGUAUUGGCCUGGAUUGUUGUUUGGAUUGGCAAUAGGACAUGUUAUUGCUUUAAACAAGCCGAGUGGCUAGUGCUUAUAAUUGGUUUGAAUAAGAGCAUAAACCGUUAGGGUUGUUUUGUUCUUGCGUCUGAUAUUUGGAUUUUCUUGCCAAGUAGUUUCAUGUGUUUCAUAUCCAAGACACUCUAUGCAACAACUAAUCAAGACACUAUAUGAGAAAAGAUAAUACUUCUAUAUAUUGUUUAUGCAUAUCUCAACUAAUCAAACUUCUAUAAUCGAUCCAAUGUAUUAUGUACCGUAAAUUGUGUGUUGUCUCUUGAGAAUAUGCAUGCAGCAACUUGAGAGGAUCAAUAUCAUUUGAAAUCAUAAGGAAAAGACAAAAGGAGAUUCAUGAUAAUGCUAUUUGUAAUCAAACGUUCAGUAUAAAAUGAUGGAGCUGAUUUCACGCUUGUACACUGAUAAAGUACAAACGUUUGAAUCGUAACAUUGCAGAUUAUGUAACACACCAACACUUGUUGAAUAUUCAGGAUUCUUUUAAUAUCUGGUAUCUGUAUUACAGGGUUUGACCAGAUAAUUCACAAACCCCAAAAAACUUAAAAGAAUAUUAAUCGGUUUUAAAAACGAAAAUGUAAAAAAUAAUCACACAUAACUCAAAUUAUCAGCAGAGGCCAAGCGCGGCAAACGCUUUGACCCACCUUUCUUUUUCGACCCGUCAUGAUCCGACCCGCCUCCACACACGAAAGUACAUUCCGCGCCACAAAUAUUACUAAAACACGAGAAAAGACCGUUUCCUCCUUCCGUGUGACGGCGCUGAUGCUUCUUCUUCUUCUUCACCGUCGGAGUUUUCCGCCUCGAGCUCUUCCCUCCGCCUGCAUUCGCCGACGCCGGAACAAUCGCGCUACCUACAUCGCUGCUCUGGUGACUCGAUCCGAGAUCGUAAAGCGGCGGAAGCUCCGUCCGCCACCGCUCGAGUUUCGAUCGAAGACCUUCAAUGUUGCUAUCGUCGUCGAGGCUCCAUUCGCUGAGGAUCGAACUCUCAGUGUCGUUGGCUUGCGAUCUCUCCUUCGCCAUCUUGUUCGCUACUUCCGAAGGCGACGGACCUAACUCAGAUUCGGUUAAAAUCAAUCGCCCCGCCAAAUUAGAUCUCAUCGGCGUACCGAACCGUAGAGGCGAUUUCAUCGGCGUUCCCUUGUAGGUAGAUCGAAUCGGAGUCGAUCCGAUUAUAUUAGAUCGUAACGGAGUCGAUCCAACGAGGUUGUUAGAUCUCAUAGGAGUCGAUGAUCGCAUAGGACUAGAUGCAACCAUGUUAGAUCUCAUCGGAGUCAAUCGCAUAGGACUAGAUGCAACGAUGUUAGAUCUGAUCGGAGUAGACGCGACGAUGUUCGAUCGCAACGGCGUCCCGUGCCUCGAUAAGUACGGAGAAGCGCGGUUGCUGCGGUCGUAGUCCCUCGGCGGCCUUGGCUUCUCGAUCACCGGCGUCGAUCUCCUCGGCGUUUUGCGUGAAUGAUCGUACGAUCGGUAAGGCGAGUCCUCGUCGUAUCGUUCCCUUCUUAUCGGCAUCACGUUUGGUGAUUGAUCCACAAACUCAUCCUCAUACGAAUCAUCAUAUCUAUUGCCUGGGAUAUGAGGUGUUUUGUAAGGCGCUUCGUAAUCGUCGACGGAAUCAUCGGUAGUUGUGUGGUGUCCCGACGUUGUAGGUACAGUUUCGUCAUCGCUGCUCGGCAAUGCGCUCACGGGCUUCCUAUUAGCCACCCGGCUACGCUCUGCUCUGCUGAGAAGAUCGGAGACAACCAUGGAGCUGGUAUCACUCCUCGUACGACGGAGAACCGGUGG